GACGAACGCUGGCGGCGUGCCUAAUACAUGCAAGUCGAACGCUGAAGAGAGGAGCUUGCUCUUCUUGGAUGAGUUGCGAACGGGUGAGUAACGCGUAGGUAACCUGCCUGGUAGCGGGGGAUAACUAUUGGAAACGAUAGCUAAUACCGCAUAAAAUUGAUUAUUGCAUGAUAAUUAAUUGAAAGAUGCAACUGCAUCACUACCAGAUGGACCUGCGUUGUAUUAGCUAGUUGGUGAGGUAACGGCUCACCAAGGCGACGAUACAUAGCCGACCUGAGAGGGUGAUCGGCCACACUGGGACUGAGACACGGCCCAGACUCCUACGGGAGGCAGCAGGAGGGGAACUUCGGCAAUGGGGGGAACCCUGACCGAGCAACGCCGCGUGAGGGAAGAAGGGUUUCGGAUCGUAAAGCUCUGUUGUAAGGGAAGAACGGGUGUGAGAGUGGAAAGUUCACACUGUGACGGUAUCUUACCAGAAAGGGACGGCUAACUACGUG
RNAcentral lists this ribosomal RNA (497 nucleotides) under uncultured bacterium. Its description in RNAcentral is "partial 16S ribosomal RNA". It matches the Rfam family "Bacterial small subunit ribosomal RNA", at positions 28 to 507 of the family's 1533-position model. The record is from RNAcentral.